Molecule: ribosomal RNA, 407 nt
Filed under: uncultured bacterium
Lineage: Bacteria
Description: partial 16S ribosomal RNA
Rfam family: Bacterial small subunit ribosomal RNA
Source: RNAcentral
AUUGAACGCUGGCGGCAGGCCUAACACAUGCAAGUCGAGCGGAGCGGCCGACGGGUGAGUAAUGCCUAGCAAUCUGCCUGCUAGUGGGGGAUAACGUCCGGCAACGGGCGCUAAUUACGCCUACUAUCAGUCGAGCCUAGGUAGGAUUAGCGAGUUGGUGGGGUAAAGGCCUACCAAGGCGACGAUCCGUAACUGGUCUGAGAGGAUGAACAGUCACACUGGAACUGAGACACGGUCCAGACUCCUACGGGAGGCAGCAGUGGGGAAUAUUGGACAAGGGGCGAAAGCCUGAUGCAGCCAUGCCGCGUGUGUGAAGAAGGUCUUCGGAUUGUAAAGCACUUUAAGUUGGGAGGCGUUACCAACAGAAUAAGCACCGGCUAACUUCGUGCCAGCAGCCGCGGUAAUUC